GUUCUGUCUGUGGUUCUUCACUUGGAAUGGCUCAUUUUACAUAAGCAUGCCAUCACUCAAGCCCUCUGCUUACACGAAAAUGUUCCAAGUGGCCAGAGAGGACAGGUAUGAGUGUGUUAAGCUCUGACCACUUCGAACUUCUGAAGUGGAGCUACUCCUGUACUCGGUGGCGGAGGAACCCUCUCCUGCACCCAUGGCGGGACGCCGAGGGGUGGGGCGAACUGCCAGUGAUUCACACACAACGUCCGUACGGACUGCACAUGUGCGGCAUCCUGUACAGAGUGGGCACAUGCGACAACCAUAAGGGCUGCCACACAUGUGCAAUCCAUAUGGGAUGCUGCAAAUGCGCAGUCCGUACAGGCUGCCACUUGCCUGCGAUGGCUGUACUGUACUGAGCGGCAUCCUGUACUGAGUGCGCAUGUGUGGCAUCCCAUACGGCAUCCUGGUCUGAGUGCGCAUGUGUGGCAUCCCGUAUGGAGUGUGCAUGUGCGGCAUCCCAUACAGAGUGCGAACAUGCAGCAGCCUGUACAGUCGCUGUGCUAGAGGCAGCCCAUACGGACACCUGUAUGGAUGGUGCGCACAAGUGACAGCCCGUACGGUUGCCAUGCGAAAGGCAGCCCGUACGGACGCCGCGUGAGCGGCGCCCUUACUGACUGUGCAUGCCCUCGACCGCUCUACAGCUGGGAGGAGGCAGGGGCCAUCUUGUCACACCCCACCCAGAGUGGCACCCAGGGCAAACCACCCCCUCCGCCCCCACUUUGUAUGCCCCUGCCUGUACUGCCUAGGGUUUCAGAAACCUGCACAAUUCAGGUUCUAAACCAUGUAGUAAAAGGUAAAGGUGAAGGACCCCUGGACAGUUAAAUCCAGUCAAAAGUGUCUAUGGGGUUGCAGUGCUCAUCUCGCUUUCAGGCUGAGGGAGUCAAUGUUUGUCCACAGACAGCUUUCUGGGUCAUGUGGCGAGCAUGACUAAACCACUUCUGGCACAACAGAACACCGUGACAGAAGCCAGAGCACAUGGAAACACUGUUUACCUUCCCGCCACAGUGGUACCUAUUUAUCUACUUCCACUGGCAUGCUUUCGAACUGUUUGGUUGGCAGAAGCUGGGACAGAGCAACAGGAGCUCACUCCAUCAUUGGGAUUAGAACAGCCGACCUACUGAUUGUCAAACCCAAGAGGCUCAGUGGUUUAGACCACAGCAACCCACUGAGCCUACACGACUGCUUGGAGAAUCCCCAUUUCAGAAGUUCAUCAUCCACAAGCUGGAAGGUGAUAGGGAUUGCUCAUUCCUGCUAUCUUCCUUAGGUUUAGUUUGUUUUGUCCCCCACUCUCCCUGUGCUCAUGAAACAAUUGCAUAUAGCUACUGUGUCUUCUGUCUUCAAGCAAUAAGGAAGCACAUCUGAACAAGACCAGUUCAAACAUUGUAACAUGGCACUUUGAAUUUGCUGUGAUUCCUCAAUUGAAAGGGGUUCAACUAGAUGACCCUUUGAGUUCCUUGGAACUCUACAAUUCUAUUUUUCUAUGAUAAAGAAGGCUUGAAGGCUUGGACCUAUGAGCUUCAUGGAAACGUGCUACUAAUAUUCCUUAUUUUUAAUACAAAGUAUUUUUUUAAAAAAAAGAAGUAGACUUUCUUUUGUACUGUUUCUGCUCUGCCAGUUUUAAAUAUCAUUUUACUGUGUGUUUGAGAUGGUUUUGUUCUGUUCUGGGUUUCGGAGUUCUGAGUUGGGAGUUUCGGCCAAGGAAAGGCCAGCAUGUAAAUGCUUUUAAAUAAGUAAACAGGUAAAUACAGACAAAUAAAUAGAGUGCUAAACUUCCCAAUUAAUCUUUAAAAUGUACCAGCCAUGCAUGGUAUGCAGUUCACUUUCCAAAGAUGAUCAGUAUACCCAUCUCCAUCAUUUAUGAAUGGCAAAUUUGAUCCAAUGCCAUGUUUUCCCCCAGUAAAAGAUGCCAAUUGUGUAUGUUCUCUCUACUUCUCCAGAGACUUUAAUGAAAAAGCUGUUUGUUGAAGAGUUUGUUAGUGUUCCUUUGCAUAAUGCGACUUUCUGAGGAAGAUCUGUUGAAUAUGGAAUGAACUAACAUUGCUCAUAAUUACAGCUGUAGGGGGGAAAUGAAUUGAAAUGAGAUAACAAAGUUUUCCAAUAAGGGUGCCUUCUGUAUUACAGGCUUGUAUCUACCCAAGACAAUCUCCCUCCGCUUUCUAUAUAUAUGGUAUUCUAUAUAGAGCUCAGCAAAAGUCCUCUUCUCUUCCCUUUCUGUUAUUGCAAAAGUGAGUAGUAGAAGCUAUUAAAAAGUAAAGGGUCCAGUCGCAGAUGACUCUGGGGUUGCGGCGCUCAUCUCGCUUUACUGGCUGAGGGAGCCGGCAUACAACUUCUGGGUCAUGUGGCCAGCAUGACUAAGCCGCUUCUGGUGAACCAGAGCAGCACACGGAAACGCCGUUUACCUUCCCGCCGGAGCGGUACCUAUUUAUCUACUUGAACUUUGACGUGCUUUUGAACUGCUAGGUUGGCAGGAGCAGGGACCGAGCAACGGGAGCUCACCCCGUCGCGGGGAUUCAAACCGCCGACCUUCUGAUCAGCAAGCCCUAGGCUCUGUGGUUUAACCCACAGUGCCACCUGCGUCCCUUAGUAGAAGCUAUCAAGCACCCACAAAUGAUGGCAAGUUUGGUUUGGUUUGGUUUGUGAAUUGCAAGUUGUGCAGGGGUGGGCGAGUCUGCCAAUGUUGGUUUCUCUCAGUUUCUCAUUUUGCCAUUCUUAAAUUCGGCUUUCCGUAUUUCUGUGUCAUUUAUUGAUUUGUUUUAGGAGUCCUCAUGAAAAUUCACCAGCAAAUUUGUCUCACAUGGGGAGGGGAGGCUCUGGCCACCUGCUUGCUCCACUUCGAGAUACUUUACUUGUACUAUCUGCCCAAUCAAGAAAACAUCCCAUCUUCUCCCAUCUAUUUUGCACUCAUUUCUACCUUCACCCCAUGUCUUCUGUUCCCAGCUCCUUUUGCACAGUCUCCCUUGUACAAAGACCACCCCCAUGGAAACCCUCUGCAUUGUCCUCAUGCAUUGCAGCUACUAAGCACCAUCUUUAAGGUAAAGGGACCCCUGACCAUUAGGUCCAGUCGUGACCGACUCUGGGUUUGCGACGCUCAUCUCGCUUUAUUGGCCGAGGGAGCUGGCGUACAGCUUCCGGGUCAUGUGGCCAGCAUGACUAAGCCGCUUCUGGUGAACCAGAGCAGCGCACGGAAAUGCUGUUUACCUUUCCGCCAGAGCGGUACCUAUUUAUCUAUUUGCACUUUGACGUGUUUUCGAACUGCUAGGUUGGCAGGAGCAGGGACCUAGCAAUGGGAGCUCACCCCGUCGCGGGGAUUUGAACCGCCGACCUUCUGAUCGGCAAGUCCUAGGCUCAGUGGUUUUACCCACAGCGCCACCCGCAUCCCCUGCACCAUCUUUACCUCCUGUCUCAUUAUGAACACACCAUCCCCUCCUAUUCUGCAGCUCCUUUCCUGUCCCCAUUUCCUCUUUACUGGUGACUUGUGUUUUCAUUGAUGCUGUGAACUGGUUUUGCAUUUCCAACUGAAAAGUGAAUACAAUGUUUGAACAAAUGAAUUAAAAAAAAAAAAAAGCCAGAGUUUUAGCCAUUUUAUUUAAAAUCCCAUGCAAGUCACAGAAUUCCAUGCAUUACUUUGUGUUUUGUAAUUGAAUCCCACUUUGCCUCUUUGAAAUUUUUGCCCUACAGCCACAGCCAUCUGCUUUCUCAUUCUGUCAGGGGAAGAUUUAUUUUGAUACCAUUUUUUGAAGUCUCUUAAUUUUCUUUGGUGCCCGCAUUGUAUCAAAUUAACGGACAGCGAUAUCUGAUUAGACAGAAGUUUGCAACACUGAUCAGUGUCUUUCUGACAUGAACAAAAGGUGUAGUUGGGGCCCAAUUAGCUUACCACCUGUUAAUAUUUUUACCAGAUCUUGCAGCACUUUGAUGAAUCUCCCAAUCCACUAAAUGUGAGAGCAAAGUGUCAUAUCUGUGAGUACGAAUAUCACCAUGAUAGUCAAUGCAAAAGUCUCUACAGCUGGAUCAGAUUGUAUGGCUGCUGUUCUAAGCCGUGUAAUCUAAUGCCAUUCCCUCUGGAGAAGGAGGGGAAUUGUACCUAUCGUUUCUGGAAGCCCACCUGUGAGCAACUGCCAGUGUGUAGACUUUUUCCCCUUCAAUUGGCAUGGGAUCAUGGCCAAGGCCAAGGCCAGGGGCGUGGAUCUAUUGUUCCAGAAGGGGGCUUAAGGGGAAAUCAUUAUUCAUUAUUAUUAUUUAUUGAAUUAAUAUAUCACCCUUUAUCAAAAGAUCCCAGGGCUAUGUACAACAUUAAAAACACAUUACAAAACAUCACUAAUAAAAAUGUGAGAUGCGGGUGGUGCUGUGGUCUAAACCACUGAGCCUCUUGGGCUUGCCAAUCAGAUGUUCAGCAGUUCGAAUCCCCACAACAGAGUGAGCUCCCAUUGCUCUGUCCCAACUCCUGCCAACCUAGCAGUUCGAUAGCACACCAGUACAAGUAGAUAAAUAGGUACCACUGUGGCAGGAAGGUAAAUGGCGUUUCCAUGUGCUCUGGUUUCCAUCAUGGUGUUCUCUUGUGCCAGAAGCAGUUUAGUCAUGCUGGCCACAUGACCCAGAAAAUUGUCUGUGAACAAAUGCCAGCUCCCUUGGCCUGAAAGUGAGAUGAGUGUCGCACCCCAUAGUCACCUUUGACUGGACUUAACCUUAAACUUUUUUUAAAAAAUAAAAUAAAAACUUAAUAAAAAACAUACUGACAGACAGAUAUGUAGUGAUGUAAAGGAUGCCUGAACUGUUUGUCGUGACACCUAAUGAACAAAAGAGCGUUAGACGUAUGUGCCCUUUCCCACAACGUGGAAAGGGAUGUGCAGAAAAAGGACAUCCGUGGUAUUACAGAUCCCGGAGCUAAUUCUCUCCACAUGGCUUCUAAAAGUGGGGGGUGUUAUAACCCCACACUAGUCGUAUACCAUGCUGAGGGAUAAGACAGUAUGUCUCUGAUUGCCACCAGCUUAGGAUCAUAAAUGUGGAGAGUGUUGCAGCACUCGGGUCCUUCUGGUGGGCUUCGUAUAAGAUAUCUGGUGAUGCUGUGAUACUAGGUGGGCUUUUGGUCUACUCUAGCAUGGUUCUUCUUCUGUUCCUAUGACACCUUCACACAGAGGAAAAAACCAGAUUGCUGAGCCAUAGAUGUGUGCACUAAUGAUGAUGAUGACGACUGCUUCAUUUCCCCUUACUCUUGAAUUACUCUAAUGGGACACGGUGUUUAUUGUUUCAUUCUUCAUUUGCUGGUGCUUUUCUUUCUUUUUUUGUGUGGGUGGUGGAGGAGGAGACUCUGGGGAGUGUCUGCAGCAAAAUGUUUGUGAAUUGAAAUUCCUGUUUCCUUCUUGAUGCUUUCGUUUCCAUUUUCUUGGCUAGUGUUUCAGUUCUCAGUAGAAUGCAGUUAUGGCAUGUGCCAAACACAUGAACUGGCUCAAUAGACAAUGGAAUCCAUGUGUGGUGGAAUCACAACUGAAGUGUAAUUAUAGACUUAAAUCAAGGGGUGUUAGAGCCACAAUGUAUAUAGCCUAAGCUAUAAAUGCAACAUAAAGUGGAGAGUUUUAAAGAAAUCUACAACUAUGGGAAAGACACCAGCUUCCUCAUUACUCAGCAACACUACCCAGCUCAGUUUUGAUUAUCUCUCACAAUUGUGGGUGAGUUAGAAAAGUGUAAUCUGAUUGCCGAUGAGCUUUCAAAAGAGAUGGGUUUUCCCAAAAAAGAUAAACUGGUCAAGGUUCAGCAGCACCUUAUACAGUCAUACCUCGGGUUACAGACGCUUCAGGUUGCACAUUUUUGGGUUGUGCACAGCGCCGAACCUGGAAGUACCGGAACAUGUUACUUCCAGGUUUCGGCACUCGUGCGUGCACAGAAGCACUAAAUCACACUUUGCGCAUGCACCUGAAGUGCCAAAUCAUGACCCAUGCGUGCGCACACGCAGCGCUGCAGGUUGUGAACGCUGCGGGUUGCGAACGUGCCUCCCUUACGGAUCACGUUUGCUACCCGAACGUCCACUGUAAUUACAAAUACCAGAAUAGUAGGGGUGGAUUGAUAUUUCAUUGCAGCACACCUAUGUUUGUGCAUAAAACAUGCAUCAAACAUCAUAACUGGAGGGUGGAGUCAAAGGAGAGAUUGGCCAUUGUUUCUAAUGGGGCAAAGUAUGACUAUGGAGAAAGGGGAAUUCAGAAUAAUGUCAAAUGUGUAACACUCUUUGUGGAGAGUCCCUUGCCCCAGACAGGCCAACGAUUAAGUUCACCAAGAAGAAGAAGACAUAAUUGAAGUUAGUUUUGGAAGACACAGAGUCUGUAGCCUUUCUUUUCUCUUUCAGCCUAAACACCACUCUGCCCCUGAAGUCUUUGCUCAUACUUCAUCUCCAUCUUCCUGCAUGGAGUGACACACUCUGAAGGGAGCUUCUACAUGCGCUCAGCUGAAGAUGCUUAGAAGCUUCCUUGAACUCAGCAAGUCUGCUGGCACAGACUUUUGCACAAAAUACACAGAGAUGAGGAGAGGAGGAGGUGAGGCCGAAGUUCAUGGAAAUGUUUGGGGGUGGAGACAGAACAGAAAGCCAUGGCUCUCUGGCACACUUUUUACCCUCAUGGUUUUCAGGCUGAACCUCUGAGGGGAGCUCAUUGGAUGAUGUAUUCUCACCAUUUUGAAAGCCUUAUCUGGAAUGCCAUUUUUUUAUAUCACUGUUGGUUUUGAUCACCUUCCCAUCUCCAGAGAUGGGAAAUGAAGUUAGUUGUACCAAUACCACAGCUGGGUAUACAGUGAUCAAUAUACGUUGCAUUCCGUUCCUAACCCUUUUUCAUUCUGUCAAUGUGUCUCAGGCAGGAAAAAGCAAAUUAAACAAUGACAAUAGCAGCUGUGCUUCAUCCUCACAUGGUCCAAAUUUGAUUUCAUUUUUUUUUCACCUUCAAAAACUUUUUUAUUAAAAGAACACUACAAAGAGUAUGAUCUUGGUAGAAAGUUAAUAUUCCCAUGGGGUAUAAGGAAACAUCCCCUGGACAUUUCUUACUAAAGUCAAUUUAUUGUAAUAGAGUUCAAAAACUAGAAGCAAUGUGUGUUCCCUCC
Molecule: non-coding RNA, 7116 nt
Organism: Podarcis lilfordi (Lilford's wall lizard)
Lineage: Eukaryota; Metazoa; Chordata; Lepidosauria; Squamata; Lacertidae
Source: the annotation of a GenBank genome assembly